Molecule: ribosomal RNA, 393 nt
Filed under: uncultured bacterium
Lineage: Bacteria
Description: partial 16S ribosomal RNA
Rfam family: Bacterial small subunit ribosomal RNA
Source: RNAcentral
AUACGGAGGAUGCGAGCGUUAUCCGGAUUUAUUGGGUUUAAAGGGAGCGUAGGUGGGAUAUUAAGUCAGCUGUGAAAGUUUGGGGCUCAACCUUAAAAUUGCAGUUGAUACUGGUUUCCUUGAGUACGGUAUAGGUGGGCGGAAUUCGUGGUGUAGCGGUGAAAUGCUUAGAUAUGACGAAGAACACCGAUUGCGUAGGCAGCUGACCAGACCGCAAAUGACGCUCAUGCACGAAAGUGCGGGGAUCGAACAGGAUUAGAUACCCUGGUAGUCCGCACAGUAAACGAUGAAUACUUGUUUUCGGCGAUAUAAUGUCGGAGGCAAAGCGAAAGCGAUAAGUAUUCCACCUGGGGAGUACGCCGGCAACGGUGAAACUCAAAGGAAUUGACGGGG